CGUAAAUAAGGGAAUGAAUGUCUCCCUCAGUGAUGCUGGAACCGCAAAUGAUUGCUAAUGACUUCUACAGGCUU
This 74-nucleotide non-coding RNA is filed under the name Enterococcus sp. RNAcentral's name for it is "Fluoride sequence". It matches the Rfam family "Fluoride riboswitch aptamer (crcB RNA motif)". The record is from RNAcentral. Lineage: Bacteria; Bacillati; Bacillota; Bacilli; Lactobacillales; Enterococcaceae.